CCCAUGGAAUGACCCGCUUGGGAAACAUACUUCUUUAUAUGCCCAUAUGGACCUGCUACGCUAUGGAAUGUAAAGAAGUAUGUAUCUCAGGCUGGGACCUCUCUC
Molecule: microRNA precursor, 105 nt
Filed under: Otolemur garnettii (small-eared galago)
Lineage: Eukaryota; Metazoa; Chordata; Mammalia; Primates; Galagidae
Description: microRNA 1-1 (ENSOGAG00000017534.1)
Rfam family: mir-1 microRNA precursor family (bases 16-92)
About the family: This family represents the microRNA (miRNA) mir-1 family. miRNAs are transcribed as ~70nt precursors (modelled here) and subsequently processed by the Dicer enzyme to give a ~22nt product. In this case the mature sequence comes from the 3' arm of the precursor. The extents of the hairpin precursors are not generally known and are estimated based on hairpin prediction.
Source: RNAcentral